GGGGAAAGGAAUAUUGAACAAAUAUGGAAAAAUUCCAUAUCAUCGUCACCGACGGUGGUGGCUCAUUGACCAGUGGUGGUUCUGCGAGCGAGUGGCGAUGGUAGCUCAAGGGAUGGUCGUGGCCACGCAAGAGAGCAACGUUGGUGGCUCAACGGGUGGCAGGGAAGGGUGGUUACGAAAGGAAGAAGAAGAAAAAGGAGGAAGAAGAAGAAGCCAAUGAAAAAAAUGAAGCCGAGUGAUUUUUUUAUUUUUGAAAGAAAAAUGAAGUUGGAACGGUGGAAGGGAAAGGAAGAUUCCGGAGUUGGAUGGGGAAGUGGGAAAGGCAAGUGUGAGGAAGGAGAAAGGUUUUGGUUGGAAAAGAAGAGAGGUGGGGAAGUGGGAAAAGAAGAGAGGUGGAGAAGUGGGAAAGACAACAUGGAAAAGGGGGAAGGUUUUAGAGUAAAAAAGUGAAGUGGA
This 456-nucleotide long non-coding RNA is filed under the name Glycine max (soybean). RNAcentral's name for it is "long non-coding RNA (GMAX_LNC004370)". Lineage: Eukaryota; Viridiplantae; Streptophyta; Magnoliopsida; Fabales; Fabaceae. The record is from RNAcentral.